Amaranthus tricolor (Joseph's coat) is the source of this 493-nucleotide long non-coding RNA. RefSeq lists it as uncharacterized. NCBI's taxonomy places the organism in Eukaryota, Viridiplantae, Streptophyta, Magnoliopsida, Caryophyllales, Amaranthaceae. The transcript is spliced from 3 exons. The record is from RefSeq and is a predicted model, not a curated record.
CAUCCCUCUCUUCUCUCUUCUCUCUUCUCUUUCACUCCCCUCUCCCUCACGGCUCACAAAACCAGUAGCUGCCGCCUCCACCGUGGCCACCACCACCACCACCAGGUCACGUUGCUCUCCCCUCCACCAGCAGACACGCCCUCCUUCCACCUGCAGCAGCCGCGAGUCUCAAUAACAGCAGCAACCACGUUUGUGGUUGUUUCCACGGCAACAGCGAGCCCAGCACCACCACCGGCUCCUUAGAGCUGCGUUUGGAUCGCGCCACCGCCACAAAAUCCUCAAUCUCGUGGUCCAUUCCUAGUUCCACCUAUUGCGCCCAAUUCAUAAGAGGAAGGUAGAACUUUAGUUGGGUGAUGUUUGACUUUUGGUCGUGCAGUGACACUUACAGCAGGAUGAUCAUAGACAGACGUAGCAGGUAUUGGAGCUUCACUUGCAUUGCAUUGCAUUGGGGGAGAGUAAUGAGGGCGAAGCAUAACCUGUGUCAUACCGUUAU